Molecule: transfer RNA, 73 nt
Filed under: Candidatus Moraniibacteriota bacterium
Lineage: Bacteria; Candidatus Moraniibacteriota
Description: tRNA-Ile2(cat)
Rfam family: tRNA
About the family: Transfer RNA (tRNA) molecules are approximately 80 nucleotides in length. Their secondary structure includes four short double-helical elements and three loops (D, anti-codon, and T loops).
Source: RNAcentral
GGGCCCGUAGCUCAGGGGUUAGAGCAGUCGGCUCAUAACCGAUUGGUCAUUGGUUCAAAUCCAAUCGGGCCCA